GGACUACACGGGUAUCUAAUCCCGUUUGCUCCCCUGGCUUUCGUGCCUCAGCGUCAGGAAAUGUCCAGAGACUCGCCUUCGCCACUGGUGUUCCUCUCGAUAUCUACGCAUUUCACUGCUACACCGAGAAUUCCAGUCUCCCCUCCAUUCCUCUAGCCGGAGAGUAUCCGAUGCCAUUUCCAAGUUGAGCUUGGAGAUUUCACAUCAGACUUACCCGGCCGCCUACGCACCCUUUACGCCCAGUGAAUCCGAACAACGCUUGGGACCUCUGUAUUACCGCGGCUGCUGGCAC
This 292-nucleotide ribosomal RNA is filed under the name uncultured bacterium. RNAcentral describes it as "partial 16S ribosomal RNA". RNAcentral also lists the same sequence under 1 other name. The record is from RNAcentral.